This 4024-nucleotide long non-coding RNA is filed under the name Lupinus angustifolius (narrow-leaved blue lupine). Its description in RNAcentral is "long non-coding RNA (LANG_LNC002728)". The record is from RNAcentral. Lineage: Eukaryota; Viridiplantae; Streptophyta; Magnoliopsida; Fabales; Fabaceae.
GCAUGCAUUAGCAAAACUUAUUUAUUCCCCCAUUCCCUUUCAUUUGUCACCUUGUAAAACUAAUUUUGUUUCUAGUCUCUUUAGGAAUAAGUUUUUGAGCUUCAUUACACACCUGGGCAACUACCCUCUGACCCCUGUAGUCAAUUAUAGCCAGAGCAAGGUUAUAAAGUCCUGGGACAUUGGCUUCCUGGUAAGCCUUGGUGCCUUUCAAAUCAUUGUUUGCAGAAGCGUAUGUGGCUUGCUCAUUCUCAGCCAGCUCAGUUUCAGGCGAAACAUCUUGAGCGACUUCUGCAGAUUUAAUAAGAUUUUCUGAACUAGGACCAUCAUCUUUCCCCCCAUUGGGAACCAGACUGUCAUCAUCAAGUGAAAUAGAAGCAGCUUUAGCAGAAGAAUUAUGCCGAGUGCUUGUGCCCCCUGCUUUUGGAUUAGCAUCAGUACGUUUCUUUGACAGCUUCUCAAGGUCAGAAUCAACAGCAAAACUAAAGAAUAUAUUGUUGUGCACAUACCUAUUAACAAAAUUACACUCAUGAGCUAAACAUUACAAUAUAAAGGUAAGCUCGUGUGGGGAAAGGGAAAUAUCACAGAUAAUAACAGAGCAUAUGAACUAUGACAACAAAAGAUUGUAGCUUUAUAAACAAAAGAAAAAUAGUAUAAGAUACACCAUACUAUAUUCUGCCAAAGCAAUUUAGCAAUACUUGAGACAUCCAUGUCAUGAACAGUUUCUUCACAAUGCAAAUUUAUGGGCCAAGAACAAUAUACUUAGAUCCACCCUCCCACCCCGAAGCAUGAAAAAUGUAACAUGCAACUUCAACUAGAGCAUACUUAACAUUAUUUUAAAAUAUUAAAAUAUCAGGGUGCAGCAAGUAAAUUAUUUAGAAUUUGGAGAAUACAUUUAACAAAUUGGUUAGUUAUAAAACAGUUAAGGGCCCACUAACAUGUGAAAGCAUUCUGGGUCAGUUGGAUUUAUUGGAGGAAUGCAGCCACUGAUCACUCCAACAGCACCAUUAAUGGCUGCGUCAACAAAGUCUGAUGUCACUUUAUAAAGUGCCCUAUCCCGUAAAAUCCUGCAGUGAUGGACAAAUCACCCAAAAAGCAGAGACAAUAAAUGAUAUCAAAUCACUACCAACAUAUAAACUCUAGAACAGGCACAUUUCCAAAGACAUUCAAAUUAUGGAUGAGAGAAAACGAAGUAACAAUAUAAGAACAUCAUGAAUGCUAAGAGUGAACCCAUGAUUUUUUUCACACAGAAAGCAUAUACAUACACACCACAGGGAGAUAAACAACAACAACUAAGCCUUAAUCCCACUAGGUGGGGUACACGGGAAGAUAAAUGGGGGAAACUCAGAGAUAGAUGAAAGAUAAAGAGUUAGAGGUAGAUGAAGGCAAAAUAAGAGGUAAAAAACCUCUGGACUCCCAGCUAGUUUGAAUUCAGUGAAGACAUUAGGAUUAAAAACAAUUUCCUCAUAGUGAUCAGAGGCUUCAGCAGCUGCAGCAGCAAGUUCUUUAACAUCAUCCACUUUCUCUUUAUUUGCCCAAUCCUGACGCAAUUGAAGCACAUAAACAAGUUCAAAUCUUCAUAUAAAAAAUUAACCACCAAGAAAUUGUCCUUAAUUACUAAUGUUAAAACUCAAAGAUUUAGAGAAGAAAAGAGUGACAGCUAGCAAUAGAAAACUGAGUGAGAUUUUAGAAUGUGCUGCACAAAUACAAUAAUCUAAUGAACCUAUUUAUAGUACUAAUUAGGUCAAGUACAAGUAUUACUAGUACGAGCCCACUACUAAUAACCCUAAUAUAUUGUAAGUUGACUAACCUUAUACUAAUAACAAGUCACAAAACCAUCAACCAAAAAAUACAGUCUACAAAUCCGUUAAAUACCCAGCUCAGUCUCUGUUAACCUCGUUUAACACCCCAAAAUCCAGGAAGUGAAAGUGUACGAGCACCAUUCAAAAAUGUUCAAACAAGCAUAAGCAACGAAAUGACUCUGUUACUGUAUGAAGUUGAAACAAGUAAUUUCUUUUAAGAAUAGAGCUGGGGAAUAAUACUAAAAGACAUAAUCCAUAGAUAACCUUACAUACACAUAACUUUUCAUGUGAAACCUCUUUCGUGAUUGUCCUUAAAAAUGCUGGAAAGGGUGAAGAAAGAACUUGUUUCAGAAAAACACAAUAAAAGCAUAUGAUACACUGUUAUAGCACUUACUACCAUGCCAGUUUCAGUGGCAUUUUGAGAAUCAGUAGCCACGUUGUCUACCCCUUGAGAUUUUGAUGUCUCCGCUGCUUGGGCCUAUUUACAUAAAGAUCCAUCGGUGUGAAACUUAAUAUACAAAGCAAACCCUGAAUAUUGCUAACAUUGGAGUACUUUAGUUACCUGGCAAAAGGCAGCAAUUAACUCUGGUCUCAAGAUACAAAACUGUGAACCGAGUCCAGUAUAGUUUACAUCCCGGGGAGUUACUCUCAACAAAUCAAGUAGAUAAUGCCUGAUUUGGUAACAAAAUAUGAGCAUCUUUCCAUAGUUGUACCACAGUAAGCAUAAGAUUAUACGAACAUAAAGUUGUGAUAAACUAAACUUGAACAUUGUAACAUACAACAAAUGCUUGACUAACUUCCAAUCUGUUAGUGUUCAAUAACCUUAUUCAAAAAUAAAUAACAUAAAAAAUAGACAAAGUGGAGUUAACAAAGAUGCUAAUACAUCAAGCAAAAUAAAAAAUUUGGUGUAGUUGGAAUAAUAUGCCUAUUGUAUGCCCCACUUGCUAAUCCGCAGAGACGAGAUCAUCAACAACACAAACAGACUGUAUAAAAAUAACAAACUGACAUAAGAAUAAUUACCGAUCAUCACCACCAACGAUUCCCUUGCUUUCCACUGGCGCAGCUAAUUUGAAGACAUUUCCAGAUCCAUCAAUUACUGAGUGUUCCUUCAAAUGAAGGCGUUUGGCAGCCUCUGACACCUAACAUAAAAAGAUACCAAAUAAGGAAAAAAUUAUCUGAUAGAAAAAACAGGCUUUUAUAGUAGCAAUUUACAGAUACUGCAUUAUAAAACAUACUUAGUUUCCACUAACCAAAAAGUUCUUUAUCAUUUAAUGACACCCAAAAUAAGUUUGAUGGUCACCCAUACUGUUUACGUAAUAAUACUUCAAUCUGAAACUUAACCUUACCUUAGAAUGAAAAUCUUCAUUCCAGCAAAUUUUCUUUCCAUUGUCAACAGAGCCAUACAAGAGAGAGUCUGACUUGUCCCCUUGAAGAAUGCCUGGUAAGACACUCUGCAGCACAAUAUAUGAUUUGGAUUGAAAUCAAAAUAUCAAUGUAACUUGCGAAUGCAAAUGCAUGGGGUUUCAAAUUAUAAGCAAUGAAGCAAAUUUGAAGUAUAAAAUCCAUCAUGUAUCUGCAGUGCACCAGUGAAACAAUUUAACAAGUGCCCUUAUGAAUUGGUCAAGGAAACAACCAGAAAUUAUUAAAAAAUAAAGCAUUUACUUCUUUAAGUAAUUAGAAGCAUUGAAAGAGGACUUCAAAUGCUCCCUACCAGGACCCUUAAGGGCAUGCAUUAGCAAAACUUAUUUAUUCCCCCAUUCCCUUUCAUUUGUCACCUUGUAAAACUAAUUUUGUUUCUAGUCUCUUUAGGAAUAAGUUUUUGAGCUUCAUUACACACCUGGGCAACUACCCUCUGACCCCUGUAGUCAAUUAUAGCCAGAGCAAGGUUAUAAAGUCCUGGGACAUUGGCUUCCUGGUAAGCCUUGGUGCCUUUCAAAUCAUUGUUUGCAGAAGCGUAUGUGGCUUGCUCAUUCUCAGCCAGCUCAGUUUCAGGCGAAACAUCUUGAGCGACUUCUGCAGAUUUAAUAAGAUUUUCUGAACUAGGACCAUCAUCUUUCCCCCCAUUGGGAACCAGACUGUCAUCAUCAAGUGAAAUAGAAGCAGCUUUAGCAGAAGAAUUAUGCCGAGUGCUUGUGCCCCCUGCUUUUGGAUUAGCAUCAGUACGUUUCUUUGACAGCUUCUCAAGGUCAGAAUCAACAGCAAAACUAAAGAAUAUAUUGUUGUGC